GGGUUGUGAGGUUAAGCGACUAAGCGUACACGGUGGAUGCCCUGGCAGUCAGAGGCGAUGAAGGACGUGCUAAUCUGCGAUAAGCGUCGGUAAGGUGAUAUGAACCGUUAUAACCGGCGAUUUCCGAAUGGGGAAACCCAGUGUGAUUCGUCACACUAUCAUUAACUGAAUCCAUAGGUUAAUGAGGCGAACCGGGGGAACUGAAACAUCUAAGUACCCCGAGGAAAAGAAAUCAACCGAGAUUCCCCCAGUAGCGGCGAGCGAACGGGGAGGAGCCCAGAGCCUGAAUCAGUGUGUGUGUUAGUGGAAGCGUCUGGAAAGGCGCGCGAUACAGGGUGACAGCCCCGUACACAAAAAUGCACAUGCUGUGAGCUCGAUGAGUAGGGCGGGACACGUGGUAUCCUGUCUGAAUAUGGGGGGACCAUCCUCCAAGGCUAAAUACUCCUGACUGACCGAUAGUGAACCAGUACCGUGAGGGAAAGGCGAAAAGAACCCCGGCGAGGGGAGUGAAAAAGAACCUGAAACCGUGUACGUACAAGCAGUGGGAGCACGCUUAGGCGUGUGACUGCGUACCUUUUGUAUAAUGGGUCAGCGACUUAUAUUCUGUAGCAAGGUUAACCGAAUAGGGGAGCCGAAGGGAAACCGAGUCUUAACUGGGCGUUAAGUUGCAGGGUAUAGACCCGAAACCCGGUGAUCUAGCCAUGGGCAGGUUGAAGGUUGGGUAACACUAACUGGAGGACCGAACCGACUAAUGUUGAAAAAUUAGCGGAUGACUUGUGGCUGGGGGUGAAAGGCCAAUCAAACCGGGAGAUAGCUGGUUCUCCCCGAAAGCUAUUUAGGUAGCGCCUCGUGAAUUCAUCUCCGGGGGUAGAGCACUGUUUCGGCAAGGGGGUCAUCCCGACUUACCAACCCGAUGCAAACUGCGAAUACCGGAGAAUGUUAUCACGGGAGACACACGGCGGGUGCUAACGUCCGUCGUGAAGAGGGAAAUAACCCAGACCGCCAGCUAAGGUCCCAAAGUCAUGGUUAAGUGGGAAACGAUGUGGGAAGGCCCAGACAGCCAGGAUGUUGGCUUAGAAGCAGCCAUCAUUUAAAGAAAGCGUAAUAGCUCACUGGUCGAGUCGGCCUGCGCGGAAGAUGUAACGGGGCUAAACCAUGCACCGAAGCUGCGGCAGCGACGCUGAUGCGUUGUUGGGUAGGGGAGCGUUCUGUAAGCCUGUGAAGGUGUGCUGUGAGGCAUGCUGGAGGUAUCAGAAGUGCGAAUGCUGACAUAAGUAACGAUAAAGCGGGUGAAAAGCCCGCUCGCCGGAAGACCAAGGGUUCCUGUCCAACGUUAAUCGGGGCAGGGUGAGUCGACCCCUAAGGCGAGGCCGAAAGGCGUAGUCGAUGGGAAACAGGUUAAUAUUCCUGUACUUGGUGUUACUGCGAAGGGGGGACGGAGAAGGCUAUGUUGGCCGGGCGACGGUUGUCCCGGUUUAAGCGUGUAGGCUGGUUUUCCAGGCAAAUCCGGAAAAUCAAGGCUGAGGCGUGAUGACGAGGCACUACGGUGCUGAAGCAACAAAUGCCCUGCUUCCAGGAAAAGCCUCUAAGCAUCAGGUAACAUCAAAUCGUACCCCAAACCGACACAGGUGGUCAGGUAGAGAAUACCAAGGCGCUUGAGAGAACUCGGGUGAAGGAACUAGGCAAAAUGGUGCCGUAACUUCGGGAGAAGGCACGCUGAUAUGUAGGUGAAGUCCCUCGCGGAUGGAGCUGAAAUCAGUCGAAGAUACCAGCUGGCUGCAACUGUUUAUUAAAAACACAGCACUGUGCAAACACGAAAGUGGACGUAUACGGUGUGACGCCUGCCCGGUGCCGGAAGGUUAAUUGAUGGGGUCAGCGCAAGCGAAGCUCUUGAUCGAAGCCCCGGUAAACGGCGGCCGUAACUAUAACGGUCCUAAGGUAGCGAAAUUCCUUGUCGGGUAAGUUCCGACCUGCACGAAUGGCGUAAUGAUGGCCAGGCUGUCUCCACCCGAGACUCAGUGAAAUUGAACUCGCUGUGAAGAUGCAGUGUACCCGCGGCAAGACGGAAAGACCCCGUGAACCUUUACUAUAGCUUGACACUGAACAUUGAGCCUUGAUGUGUAGGAUAGGUGGGAGGCUUUGAAGUGUGGACGCCAGUCUGCAUGGAGCCGACCUUGAAAUACCACCCUUUAAUGUUUGAUGUUCUAACGUUGACCCGUGAUCCGGGUUGCGGACAGUGUCUGGUGGGUAGUUUGACUGGGGCGGUCUCCUCCUAAAGAGUAACGGAGGAGCACGAAGGUUGGCUAAUCCUGGUCGGACAUCAGGAGGUUAGUGCAAUGGCAUAAGCCAGCUUGACUGCGAGCGUGACGGCGCGAGCAGGUGCGAAAGCAGGUCAUAGUGAUCCGGUGGUUCUGAAUGGAAGGGCCAUCGCUCAACGGAUAAAAGGUACUCCGGGGAUAACAGGCUGAUACCGCCCAAGAGUUCAUAUCGACGGCGGUGUUUGGCACCUCGAUGUCGGCUCAUCACAUCCUGGGGCUGAAGUAGGUCCCAAGGGUAUGGCUGUUCGCCAUUUAAAGUGGUACGCGAGCUGGGUUUAGAACGUCGUGAGACAGUUCGGUCCCUAUCUGCCGUGGGCGCUGGAGAACUGAGGGGGGCUGCUCCUAGUACGAGAGGACCGGAGUGGACGCAUCACUGGUGUUCGGGUUGUCAUGCCAAUGGCACUGCCCGGUAGCUAAAUGCGGAAGAGAUAAGUGCUGAAAGCAUCUAAGCACGAAACUUGCCCCGAGAUGAGUUCUCCCUGACUCCUUGAGAGUCCUGAAGGAACGUUGAAGACGACGACGUUGAUAGGCCGGGUGUGUAAGCGCAGCGAUGCGUUGAGCUAACCGGUACUAAUGAACCGUGAGGCUUAACCUUACAACGCCGAAGGUGUUU
Molecule: ribosomal RNA, 2931 nt
Filed under: Escherichia coli
Lineage: Bacteria; Pseudomonadati; Pseudomonadota; Gammaproteobacteria; Enterobacterales; Enterobacteriaceae
Description: 23S ribosomal RNA
Rfam family: Bacterial large subunit ribosomal RNA
Source: RNAcentral